GGGUUGUGAGGUUAAGCGACUAAGCGUACACGGUGGAUGCCCUGGCAGUCAGAGGCGAUGAAGGACGUGCUAAUCUGCGAUAAGCGUCGGUAAGGUGAUAUGAACCGUUAUAACCGGCGAUUUCCGAAUGGGGAAACCCAGUGUGUUUCGACACACUAUCAUUAACUGAAUCCAUAGGUUAAUGAGGCGAACCGGGGGAACUGAAACAUCUAAGUACCCCGAGGAAAAGAAAUCAACCGAGAUUCCCCCAGUAGCGGCGAGCGAACGGGGAGCAGCCCAGAGCCUGAAUCAGUGUGUGUGUUAGUGGAAGCGUCUGGAAAGGCGCGCGAUACAGGGUGACAGCCCCGUACACAAAAAUGCACAUGCUGUGAGCUCGAUGAGUAGGGCGGGACACGUGGUAUCCUGUCUGAAUAUGGGGGGACCAUCCUCCAAGGCUAAAUACUCCUGACUGACCGAUAGUGAACCAGUACCGUGAGGGAAAGGCGAAAAGAACCCCGGCGAGGGGAGUGAAAAAGAACCUGAAACCGUGUACGUACAAGCAGUGGGAGCACGCUUAGGCGUGUGACUGCGUACCUUUUGUAUAAUGGGUCAGCGACUUAUAUUCUGUAGCAAGGUUAACCGAAUAGGGGAGCCGAAGGGAAACCGAGUCUUAACUGGGCGUUAAGUUGCAGGGUAUAGACCCGAAACCCGGUGAUCUAGCCAUGGGCAGGUUGAAGGUUGGGUAACACUAACUGGAGGACCGAACCGACUAAUGUUGAAAAAUUAGCAGGACUUGUACGGGGGUGAAAGGCCAAUCAAACCGGGAGAUAGCUGGUUCUCCCCGAAAGCUAUUUAGGUAGCGCCUCGUGAAUUCAUCUCCGGGGGUAGAGCACUGUUUCGGCAAGGGGGUCAUCCCGACUUACCAACCCGAUGCAAACUACGAAUACCGGAGAAUGUUAUCACGGGAGACACACGGCGGGUGCUAACGUCCGUCGUGAAGAGGGAAACAACCCAGACCGCCAGCUAAGGUCCCAAAGUCAUGGUUAAGUGGGAAACGAUGUGGGAAGGCCCAGACAGCCAGGAUGUUGGCUUAGAAGCAGCCAUCAUUUAAAAGCUUGUAGCUCACUGGUCGAGUCGGCCUGCGCGGAAGAUGUAACGGGGCUAAACCAUGCACCGAAGCUGCGGCAGCGACGCUGAUGCGUUGUUGGGUAGGGGAGCGUUCUGUAAGCCUGCGAAGGUGUGCUGUGAGGCAUGCUGGAGGUAUCAGAAGUGCGAAUGCUGACAUAAGUAACGAUAAAGCGGGUGAAAAGCCCGCUCGCCGGAAGACCAAGGGUUCCUGUCCAACGUUAAUCGGGGCAGGGUGAGUCGACCCCUAAGGCGAGGCCGAAAGGCGUAGUCGAUGGGAAACAGGUUAAUAUUCCUGUACUUGGUGUUACUGCGAAGGGGGGACGGAGAAGGCUAUGUUGGCCGGGCGACGGUUGUCCCGGUUUAAGCGUGUAGGCUGGUUUUCCAGGCAAAUCCGGAAAAUCAAGGCUGAGGCGUGAUGACGAGGCACUACGGUGCUGAAGCAACAAAUGCCCUGCUUCCAGGAAAAGCCUCUAAGCAUCAGGUAACAUCAAAUCGUACCCCUGAAACCAAACACAGGUGAUGGUGAGAAAUACCAAGGCGCUUGAGAGAACUCCGGGUGAAGAACUAGGCAAAAUAGUUGCCGUAACUGGGGAGAAGGCACGCUGAUAUGUAGGUGAAGUCCCUCGCGGAUGGAGCUGAAAUCAGUCGAAGAUACCAGCUGGCUGCAACUGUUUAUUAAAAACACAGCACUGUGCAAACACGAAAGUGGACGUAUACGGUGUGACGCCUGCCCGGUGCCGGAAGGUUAAUUGAUGGGGUUAGCGCAAGCGAAGCUCUUGAUCGAAGCCCCGGUAAACGGCGGCCGUAACUAUAACGGUCCUAAGGUAGCGAAAUUCCUUGUCGGGUAAGUUCCGACCUGCACGAGAAUAGCGUAAUGAUGGCGAGGCUGUCUCCACCCGAGACUCAGUGAAAUUGAACUCGCUGUGAAGAUGCAGUGUACCCGCGGCAAGACGGAAAGACCCCGUGAACCUUUACUAUAGCUUGACACUGAACAUUGAGCCUUGAUGUGUAGGAUAGGUGGGAGGCUUUGAAGUGUGGACGCCAGUCUGCAUGGAGCCGACCUUGAAAUACCACCCUUUAAUGUUUGAUGUUCUAACGUGGACCCGUAAUCCGGGUUGCGGACAGUGUCUGGUGGGUAGUUUGACUGGGGCGGUCUCCUCCUAAAGAGUAACGGAGGAGCACGAAGGUUGGCUAAUCCUGGUCGGACAUCAGGAGGUUAGUGCAAUGGCAUAAGCCAGCUUGACUGCGAGCGUGACGGCGCGAGCAGGUAUAGCACGGGUCAUAGUGAUCCGGUGGUUCUGAAUGGAAGGGCCAUCGCUCAACGGAUAAAAGGUACUCCGGGGAUAACAGGCUGAUACCGCCCAAGAGUUCAUAUCGACGGCGGUGUUUGGCACCUCGAUGUCGGCUCAUCACAUCCUGGGGCUGAAGUAGGUCCCAAGGGUAUGGCUGUUCGCCAUUUAAAAGUGGUACGCGAGCUGGGUUUGGGAACGUCAUUGAGACAGUUCGGUCCCUAUCUGCCGUGGGCGCUGGAGAACUGAGGGGGGCUGCUCCUAGUACGAGAGGACCGGAGUGGACGCAUCACUGGUGUUCGGGUUGUCGUACCAGUAAGCGCACCCGGUAGCUAAAUGCGGAAGAGAUAAGUGCUGAAAGCAUCUAAGCACGAAACUUGCCCCGAGAUGAGUUCUCCCUGACUCCUUGAGAGUCCUGAAGGAACGUUGAAGACGACGACGUUGAUAGGCCGGGUGUGUAAGCGCAGCGAUGCGUUGAGCUAACCGGUACUAAUGAACCGUGAGGCUUAACCUUACAACGCCGAAG
RNAcentral lists this ribosomal RNA (2922 nucleotides) under Escherichia coli. RNAcentral describes it as "23S ribosomal RNA". It matches the Rfam family "Bacterial large subunit ribosomal RNA". The record is from RNAcentral. Lineage: Bacteria; Pseudomonadati; Pseudomonadota; Gammaproteobacteria; Enterobacterales; Enterobacteriaceae.